ACGGGUGAGUAACGCGUGGGUAACCUGCCUCAUACAGGGGGAUAACAGUUAGAAAUGACUGCUAAUACCGCAUAAGCGCACAGGGCUGCAUGGCCCGGUGUGAAAAACUCCGGUGGUAUGAGAUGGACCCGCGUCUGAUUAGCUGGUUGGAGGGGUAACGGCCCACCAAGGCGACGAUCAGUAGCCGGCCUGAGAGGGUGAACGGCCACAUUGGGACUGAGACACGGCCCAGACUUCUACGGGAGGCAGCAGUGGGGAAUAUUGCACAAUGGGGGAAACCCUGAUGCAGCGACGCCGCGUGAAGGAAGAAGUAUCUCGGUAUGUAAACUUCUAUCAGCAGGGAAGAAAAUGACGGUACCUGACUAAGAAGCCCCGGCUAACUACGUGCCAGCAGCCGCGGUAAUACGUAGGGGGCAAGCGUUAUCCGGAUUUACUGGGUGUAAAGGGAGCGUAGACGGAAGAGCAAGUCUGAUGUGAAGGGCUGGGGCUUAACCCCAGGACUGCAUUGGAAACUGUUUUUCUAGAGUGCCGGAGAGGUAAGCGGAAUUCCUAGUGUAGCGGUGAAAUGCGUAGAUAUUAGGAGGAACACCAGUGGCGAAGGCGGCUUACUGGACGGUAACUGACGUUGAGGCUCGAAAGCGUGGGGAGCAAACAGGAUUAGAUACCCUGGUAGUCCACGCCGUAAA
RNAcentral lists this ribosomal RNA (686 nucleotides) under uncultured bacterium. Its description in RNAcentral is "bacterial SSU rRNA". It matches the Rfam family "Bacterial small subunit ribosomal RNA", at positions 102 to 806 of the family's 1533-position model. The record is from RNAcentral.